This 446-nucleotide ribosomal RNA is filed under the name Genista pilosa. Its description in RNAcentral is "eukaryotic LSU rRNA". The stretch from base 306 to 446 matches the Rfam family "Eukaryotic large subunit ribosomal RNA", at positions 1 to 141 of the family's 3401-position model. The record is from RNAcentral. Lineage: Eukaryota; Viridiplantae; Streptophyta; Magnoliopsida; Fabales; Fabaceae.
UGCAGAAUCCCGUGAACCAUCGAGUCUUUGAACGCAAGUUGCGCCCGAAGCCAUUAGGCUGAGGGCACGCCUGCCUGGGUGUUGCACAUCGUUGCCCCUGUGCCUUGGCCACGUGCUAGGCACCGAGCGGGGCGAAUGUUGGCUUCCCGCGAGCAGCGUCUCACGGUUGGUUGAAAACUGAGUCCGCGGUGGAGCGCACCGUGAUGGAUGGUGGUUGAGUUAAAGCUCGAGACUGAUCGUGCGUGUCACCUCCACCAGCUUUGAGACUCUUUGACCCAUGGGGGUCUGUUGACCGCCUAAGACGGGAACCUCAGGUCAGGCGGGGCUACCCGCUGAGUUUAAGCAUAUCAAUAAGCGGAGGAAAAGAAACUAACAAGGAUUCCCCUAGUAACGGCGAGCGAACCGGGAAGAGCCCACCAUGAGAAUCGGAUGCCCACGGUUUCCGA